GGCCCUAUCGUCUAGUCUGGCUUAGGACGUCAGGUUUUCAUCCUGGUAACACCGGUUCAAAUCCGGUUGGGGCCG
Molecule: transfer RNA, 75 nt
Filed under: Parcubacteria bacterium DG_74_1
Lineage: Bacteria; Candidatus Parcubacteria
Also listed under: 3 other names
Description: tRNA-Glu
Rfam family: tRNA
About the family: Transfer RNA (tRNA) molecules are approximately 80 nucleotides in length. Their secondary structure includes four short double-helical elements and three loops (D, anti-codon, and T loops). Further hydrogen bonds mediate the characteristic L-shaped molecular structure. tRNAs have two regions of fundamental functional importance: the anti-codon, which is responsible for specific mRNA codon recognition, and the 3' end, to which the tRNAs corresponding amino acid is attached (by aminoacyl-tRNA synthetases). tRNAs cope with the degeneracy of the genetic code in two manners: having more than one tRNA (with a specific anti-codon) for a particular amino acid; and 'wobble' base-pairing, i.e. permitting non-standard base-pairing at the 3rd anti-codon position.
Source: RNAcentral